Molecule: unclassified non-coding RNA, 537 nt
Filed under: Aspergillus microperforatus
Lineage: Eukaryota; Fungi; Ascomycota; Eurotiomycetes; Eurotiales; Aspergillaceae
Description: sequence contains ITS1, 5.8S rRNA gene, ITS2
Rfam family: 5.8S ribosomal RNA (bases 155-308)
Source: RNAcentral
AAGGAUCAUUACCGAGUGCGGGCCCUCUGGGUCCAACCUCCCAUCCGUGUCUAUCUGUACCCUGUUGCUUCGGCGUGGCCACGGCCCGCCGAAGACUAACAUUUGAACACUGUCUGAAGUUUGCAGUCUGAGUUUUUAGUUAAACAAUAAUUAAAACUUUCAACAACGGAUCUCUUGGUUCCGGCAUCGAUGAAGAACGCAGCGAAAUGCGAUAAUUAAUGUGAAUUGCAGAAUUCAGUGAAUCAUCGAGUCUUUGAACGCACAUUGCGCCCCCUGGUAUUCCGGGGGGCAUGCCUGUCCGAGCGUCAUUGCUGCCCUCAAGCACGGCUUGUGUGUUGGGCUUCCGUCCCUGGUAACGGGGACGGGCCCAAAAGGCAGUGGCGGCACCAUGUCUGGUCCUCGAGCGUAUGGGGCUUUGUCACCCGCUCCCGUAGGUCCAGCUGGCAGCUAGCCUCGCAACCAAUCUUUUUUAACCAGGUUGACCUCGGAUCAGGUAGGGAUACCCGCUGAACUUAAGCAUAUCAAUAAGCGGAGGAA